Molecule: long non-coding RNA, 638 nt
Organism: Syngnathus acus (greater pipefish)
Lineage: Eukaryota; Metazoa; Chordata; Actinopteri; Syngnathiformes; Syngnathidae
Exons: 4
Source: RefSeq, a predicted model, not a curated record
GGGGCAGCUCAGUGAAAGCACAUGACAGGGAGUGCAAAAAUAAAGAGAAACUUCUCUUUGUUUUGCAUCUUUUUCUUCGCAGGCCCUCCAGACUGCUCCUUCUUCUGGAUUCAAGCAAACCCCAAACAAGCAUACAGAAAUGAAUGCAGCAGCAGCAGCAGCAGAACCCGAGGGCGCUAAAGCCAACCCUCCUAAGUCGAAGGAGACAAGACUGUUCAAGAGCAAGCCUCCCAAAGCUGGUUUAAAGGAAUUUGAUGAUGUACCUGGGAUGGACGGCAUUGGAGAUACAGAAGUCAUCUGCCCUUGGGAGACUUUUCACAACGUGGAGCUGAGUGAUCUGACUGAGUUUGGCAUCGUAUAAACCAUGUGCUAACAAAACGUAGUUUAUUCAUCGUGGCUACAAUCCAGCUGAUUUAUUGUUCUCUUGGUUUGAUGGCAAUACGCUGGUCGGGUUUCUGAGUGGGAACAGCUGAUGAAAUUGAGGAAGCUAUUGAUGUGUAACUUCCCACAUUCUGGGUCACUCGCUGCAAGCUGCAACUUUAGGCUUCACAUUUUUUAGUCACUUAUCAAGAAGUUUCUGUUGUAAGGUUAUCUAUCUAUCUAUCUAUCUAUCUAUCUAUCUAUCUAUCUAUCUAUCU